RNAcentral lists this unclassified non-coding RNA (268 nucleotides) under Hevea brasiliensis (rubber tree). The record is from RNAcentral. Lineage: Eukaryota; Viridiplantae; Streptophyta; Magnoliopsida; Malpighiales; Euphorbiaceae.
AAAAUAAAUAAAUAAAUAAAAGGAGGGAAAAAAAGGGUGGAGAAUGAGAAAACACGUGGGAAUUGAAGAGAUGAGUGCUGAGAUUUUGCGGGGUUUUAAUUGGGCGUGACAGCUGUCGGAGCUGUGUAAUCACAAAGAUAAUUUGUCUGUGUUGGAGUUUUUUUUGGACACUUUUUGGCUUACGUGUCUUUUUAGCUAGAAAAAUAAUCUGAGAAGACACGCAGGAAAUGAAUUUUUUCAACUCUUUUUUUUAUUCAAUAAGGCACGG